This 936-nucleotide ribosomal RNA is filed under the name uncultured bacterium. RNAcentral's name for it is "bacterial SSU rRNA". It matches the Rfam family "Bacterial small subunit ribosomal RNA", at positions 8 to 977 of the family's 1533-position model. The record is from RNAcentral.
AGAGUUUGAUCCUGGCUCAGAAUCAACGCUGGCGGCGCGCCUAACACAUGCAAGUCGCACGAGAAAGCGGGAGCAAUCUCGCAAGUAAAGUGGCGUACGGGUGAGUAACACGUGGAUCAUCUGCCCUGGAGUGGGGAAUAACGCUGGGAAACCGGCGCUAAUACCGCAUAUACCCGAGAGGGGAAAGCAGCAAUGCGCUCGAGGAGGAGUCCGCGGCCGAUUAGCUAGUUGGCAGGGUAAAAGCCUACCAAGGCUGUGAUCGGUAGCCGGCCUGAGAGGGCACACGGCCACACUGGCACUGAAACACGGGCCAGACUCCUACGGGAGGCAGCAGUGGGGAAUCUUGCACAAUGGGGGAAACCCUGAUGCAGCGACGCCGCGUGAGCGAUGAAGCCCUUCGGGGUGUAAAGCUCUUUCGGCAGGGAAGAUAAUGACGGUACCUGCAGAAGCAGCUGCGGCUAACUACGUGCCAGCAGCCGCGGUAAUACGUAGGCAGCAAGCGUUGUUCGGAGUUACUGGGCGUAAAGGGUGUGUAGGUGGCGCGCUAAGUUCCGUGUGAAAUCUCCCGGCUCAACCGGGAGGGUGCGCGGAAAACUGGCGGGCUAGAGUACGGGAUGGGAGAGUAGAAUUCCUGGUGUAGCGGUGAAAUGCGUAGAUAUCAGGAGGAAUACCGGUGGUGUAGACGGCUCUCUGGACCGUAACUGACACUGAAACACGAAAGCGUGGGUAGCAAACAGGAUUAGAUACCCUGGUAGUCCACGCCCUAAACGAUGCAUAUUUGGUGUAGGUCAUUCAGUUGAUCUGUGCCGGAGCUAACGCGUUAAAUAUGCCGCCUGGGGAGUACAGUCGCAAGGCUGAACUCAAAGGAAUUGACGGGGCCCGCACAAGCGGUGGAGCAUGUGGUUCAAUUCGACGCAACGCGAAGAACCUUACCUG